This is a long non-coding RNA of Photinus pyralis (common eastern firefly), 991 nucleotides long. RefSeq lists it as uncharacterized. The transcript is spliced from 3 exons. NCBI's taxonomy places the organism in Eukaryota, Metazoa, Arthropoda, Insecta, Coleoptera, Lampyridae. The record is from RefSeq and is a predicted model, not a curated record.
UCCCUUUUCCAAGUAAAAGAGAAAGACGUAUUUAAUGGGUCCAAAAGUUCCUUAAGAAAAGCGAAUAUUGGUUUACGCUAUCAAAAAGAUAAUUAAAAAAAAAGUUUAAUGGAGUUGCAGCAUCUCAAAUUUCCAGAUUACCGUGGGGAAACGAUCAAAGUAAGAAGCUACAAGUGGUAACGUCAACAUUUUAUUUCUUUUUCGAUUCCUGGCAGGGAAUUAUUCCAGUUCAAAGUCUUACCAUUUGGACUGCAUUCUGCAUUCCAGAGACUUUAGGACAGAAUUUUAGGACCAGAAAUGGACAAAAAGGAAGUGUUACGACCUCUAGGAAGCCAUGGGCUUCAAUUACCGGAAGAUAAAUGCAUGUUUGAUAAGACAGAGCUGGAGUACUUGGGUGGGUUGGGACGAUAUAAAUCCAGACCCAGAAAAGUGGAGGCUAGAGUAAAGAUGGAACCAACACGAACGGUAAAAGCACUCCGAAGAUUCUUCGGAAUGGCAACGCGGUACAGGACAUUCAUCACUCAAUUCUCUCAGUUGAUCUACCCCCUGAUCAGUCUCCUAAAAAAGGGCGUGAAGUUUAAUUGGGAUCCAGAGCAACAGACAACUUUCAGAAAUUAAAAGCAAAAUGUGCCACAACACCAAUCCUGAUUUCUACCAUAAAUUUAGUCUACAAACCAUUGCUAGUUCUACCGGAUUAGGGGCAGUAUUAAUCCAACAACACGAAGGAAAAGAGAAGUCAUCGCUUAUGAAUGCUUUGCAGUCGUCUGGGCGGUGGAGAAACUGAAGCGUUACCUAGAAGGGUAUCCACUUGCCACGGAUCAUUGCAGCUUAAAAUGGUUAAAAAGUGUGCAAAAUCCCACUGCCAGAAUAGACAGAUCUGGGAUUUCUCAACGGUGAAACCUGCUUAUCUUCAAACUUAACUUUACACAGCGAUUAAAAAAUCUCUUAUCGCAAUGACCGGAGAUAAACUUUGGAAUAACACAAUGCAAUU